Vicia villosa (hairy vetch) is the source of this 982-nucleotide long non-coding RNA. RefSeq lists it as uncharacterized. The transcript is spliced from 4 exons. The record is from RefSeq and is a predicted model, not a curated record. Lineage: Eukaryota; Viridiplantae; Streptophyta; Magnoliopsida; Fabales; Fabaceae.
GCUCUUGAGUUUAAUCUUAUGUAAAGUAUGAUUUAUCCUUCUUGAUUUGUUCUUCUCUCCCAUUCGAUAAAUCUGAAUUUUGUAUUUUGUUUUUCAAUGGAUCUAAAUGCAUUGAAUUUAACGCUUCAUGACCAUGUCCAUGGAUUCUACAUUUCAUCAACAAUGAGUCGUGAUAGUUUUGUGAAGAAUAAAAAGAAGAAGGAUGAACUCUCAGUGAAGCUUUCAAUCUCACAUGCUCCCAAAAUGGAUGAAUGGAUGAAUCUUUAAGCUCCAAUUUUCUUCCAAUGCAUCAUACAAAAUUUGGUCUGAUGUAUGCUUUUCGUUCAUUUCCAUUCAUCUUCUCUUCCAGUGUUUUUAUUUUCUUUCUCUUUCGUUUUCUCCAAAUUUUCUUCCAUUAAUCUCUAUUUUCAUGUUUUUUCUUGCAAGAACUGUUGUAUAUGCACAUCAUCUAUUUGAUAAAAUGUUGUAGAGGAUUCUAACUAUCAUUAUCAUGCCUUAUGAUUUUUGUCUUAUGGAAGGAUUGCUGGAAGUAUAACACAAUUUUAUGAUCAAUAGUAUAUCUUCAAAUCAUGAAGAACCAUGACAACUACUUCAGCAAAAAUAUUUCAAGUCCUUACUACUUCUUGGACAAGGAAAGACUAUUGGGAAGAGCUCAAGAAGUUGCUAGAGAGUAAGCCAUGAAUAUCUCAAAAGCAGAUGAUUAUUAUUCUCAAUCAAGCCACCUAUAUUAUUAAUUUGUGGCAACAUAUUGGUGGUAAUUUGCCUUCUAAAACUCACAUCUAGAAUAUUUCAAACAGACAAGUACCAAAUUCUUUUAGAUGAGUGAUUAGUUUUUGAUUAGUUUUUGAGUAUAGGAAUAUAUUAUAGAAAUUAAUGGUAAUUCCCAUUUUUAUAAUUGUAUCAAAAAUAAACUUCUUCUUAUAUGAACAAUAGUGAUUGUGUUUUUGCAUUUUCAAAUGUUAAUGUUAGAACUCUUGAAAAA